Molecule: long non-coding RNA, 342 nt
Filed under: Amphimedon queenslandica
Lineage: Eukaryota; Metazoa; Porifera; Demospongiae; Haplosclerida; Niphatidae
Description: uncharacterized LOC109589611
Source: RNAcentral
AGUGUUUUAAUUUAUUAUCAUCAUUUGUCAUUAUAGUUCACUUCAAAUAGCAUUGAAUUUUUUUGUGAACCUGCCUUCAUCAUGCUGGUUAAGGAAGUUAUGUUAUGGAACUAAGCUUUGUAGGACUAUGUGUGACAAGAUACCUUUGAAAAAUCUGCUUCACUACAUGGAACCGAGAGUUCAUUAAUGUUAGAGAUUUUGGGAAAUUAAUUUCUCAGUAAUGUGUCUUAAGUUACAAAACAUGAAGUGUCUUACUUGUGGAACAUUGGUAGACUAUGAUAAAGAAAACAAUUAUAAUCUUUUUUUUGGUUUUAAUAAUAAUUCCAAAUCAUUUUAAAUUAA